RNA transcript from Cervus elaphus (red deer), 1408 nucleotides. It is a transcript of the gene named serine protease inhibitor Kazal-type 2-like, with no coding region annotated. The transcript is spliced from 4 exons. The record is from RefSeq and is a predicted model, not a curated record. Lineage: Eukaryota; Metazoa; Chordata; Mammalia; Artiodactyla; Cervidae.
GGCAGCCAAGGGAAGCGGAAGAGUUACCUGGGGGUGGGGGGGGGAGGGGUGGAGAGGGGGGGUCUCAUCGCUUCUCGGCCUUUUGACUGGGAUCAAAUGUAGAGGGUCUCGCCAACGACUGCCCCUCCACGCACCCGUUACUGGCGGUUCCAGGCCCGCCCCGCGAUUGUCUAAGGACACAAACUCGGGGGUGUGUGCGGGUGACAUGUUGGAGCCACAGUGUUGUUGCUUGGGCUUUUCUACUGACCCUGCUGCCUGCGCUUUCUCCCUUAAAGCAGAUUUUCUGGAGUCCAGGAUCAGGGGUCGGGUUUUUAUGUAGCGGGGGCCCUACAGAACCUUGGCAGGAGAUGUACAGGAGUCAGGAAUUGUGAAUGCCAAGUGUGCCAGGCACUCUGGGGCUCAUGAGAAAAGGGCCUCGGGCCAGCCAGACUUGACACCCACUUUAAAAUGAAGUUAAAAUGGUAACAUCUAGUGGUAAGCUUUGUAUUUAUUAUUCUGAGCAACAAAGGAAAAGAAUAUCGUGAAUUUUUGAGUUAUUUCUCUGACUUUUGGGUUCUUUUAGCCAGGAAAGUUGAUUUUUUAUUUCUUAAAUACUGUGAAGGAUGAGAGGGGAAAUGGUCCCCUGAUGAUGGAGGGCCGUGGAGCAAAGAGCAAGGGAUCCUGAGGCAUUAGGGAAGCCCCGGGGGCAGUAGUCAGGGUCUUCCUGCAGUCCCGUUUGUGAAUUAGCCGGUGCUCGCAUCUCUUGGCUGGCAUACCUCUGAGGUAGGUGUCAGUCAGUACCGGCUGUGGGUUCAUUUUCCGCUGGCUCUGAAUGUCCUGCCGGAUACAGGGACCCAUUCCGCGGGGACUAAAGCUGCAGUGAGUUCUGUUGCAGCUGAAGCUCCAUCCUGUUCCUCUGGGAAGCCCCCCUCAAGGAACAGUAGGUGGGCCGUGGGACAUGGCCUCUUCGGUUGCUCCAAGGGUUGGCCUCUUUGAAUGCUCAAUUUAGUCAACAUUCAGAACAUAGAACACUAACUAUGACUUAGAGCAAUUUGGUCCACUAUACAUUUGUAAGCAGCACUGAAACAUUUCUUUUUCUCUCUACUGGAUCCCUUCAGAAGUCAGAAACUCUCAGGAUGAUGGUCAUGAUAUUAAAAUAAUCCGAAGUGGACCAUGCUGAUGGAGCAGUUCACAGAAGAGGAACUGGAGAAACCACCUUCCACUGCACACUAAAUGAACUUCAUUUCCCGCUUUUCUCUUUUCCUGUAUUUCUUUGCAUGAGAUUUUCUGAAGUUGUGUAAGAGGGCAGUGACUGAUAAAACAACUACAAAAUCCUCAUUUUUGGCUGUUAUCCUUUUAGUUAAGCUUAUUGCCCAUAUGACCUAUGCAUUGCUUUAUUUAAUUGGAAUAAAAUCAGCACUGUAUUUAA